Molecule: non-coding RNA, 287 nt
Organism: Ralstonia pickettii 12J
Lineage: Bacteria; Pseudomonadati; Pseudomonadota; Betaproteobacteria; Burkholderiales; Burkholderiaceae
Source: Rfam
CCUCAUCGAUCUGCUGCGGGCAGAUGAAGUGGAUGUGCGUGUCGACGCCGCCGGCGGUGACGAUCAUGCCUUCGCCCGCGAUGAUCUCGGUGCCGGGGCCGAUGACGAUGGUCACGCCGGGCUGGAUGUCCGGAUUGCCCGCCUUGCCGAUCGCCGAGAUGCGCCCGUUCUUCAGGCCGAUGUCAGCCUUGACGAUGCCCCAGUGGUCGAUGAUCAGCGCGUUGGUGAUGACGGUGUCGGUGCAGUCUUUCGAUUCGCGCUGGCUCUGGCCCAUGCCGUCGCGGAUG